This 431-nucleotide ribosomal RNA is filed under the name Allajulus nitidus. Its description in RNAcentral is "partial 16S ribosomal RNA". It matches the Rfam family "Bacterial large subunit ribosomal RNA", at positions 1827 to 2523 of the family's 2925-position model. The record is from RNAcentral. Lineage: Eukaryota; Metazoa; Arthropoda; Diplopoda; Julida; Julidae.
AUGUUCUCUUGGAGAUGAAUAAGAGGUUUGGCCUGCUCACUGAAAUAUUAAAGAGCUGCAGUAUUUUGACUGUACAAAGGUAGCACAAUCACUAGCCCUUUAAUUGAGGGCUUGAAUGAAAGGUUAGACGGAUAAGGAUUGUUUCUGAUGUAUUUAAAUGAAUUUGUUUUUUCUGUUAAAAAUCAGAGAUAUUACUAAAAGACAAGAAGACCCUUUCAAAUUUUAUGUGUUGUUUUAAUUGGUUUGUAUAACAAGAAUAUAGUUACUUUAGUAGAUUUUGCUGGGGCGGUAAAUGGCAAGUGCGGCAAAAAGGAUAACUUUAUAAUGGAAAAAUAAUUAUGUGAUCCUUGGUGAGGAGUAAUAAAAGAAAUUACUGGAGGGAUAACAGCGUGAUGUGUUUUAAGAGUUCUUAUUGACAAACAUGUUUGCGA